GACGAACGCUGGCGGCGUGCUUAACACAUGCAAGUCGAGCGGUAAGGCCCUUUCGGGGGUACACGAGCGGCGAACGGGUGAGUAACACGUGGGUGACCUGCCCUCAGCUCUGGGAUAAGCCUGGGAAACCGGGUCUAAUACUGGAUAUGACUCCAUGAUGCAUGUUGGUGGGGUGGAAAGCCUUGUGCGGCUGGAGGAGUCGGGCCCGCGGCCUAUCAGUCUUGUUGGUGGGGUGAUGGCCUACCAAGGCGACGACGGGUAGCCGGCCUGAGAGGGCGACCGGCCACACUGGGACUGAGACACGGCCCAGACU
Molecule: ribosomal RNA, 313 nt
Filed under: uncultured bacterium
Lineage: Bacteria
Description: bacterial SSU rRNA
Rfam family: Bacterial small subunit ribosomal RNA
Source: RNAcentral